This is a long non-coding RNA of Passer domesticus (house sparrow), 13935 nucleotides long. RefSeq lists it as uncharacterized. The transcript is spliced from 2 exons. NCBI's taxonomy places the organism in Eukaryota, Metazoa, Chordata, Aves, Passeriformes, Passeridae. The record is from RefSeq and is a predicted model, not a curated record.
GGAGGCCUUCACUCCACACCCAGGGUUCUCUGCCAUUAUCCAGCUGCAUUAACAUCCAGAAACAAUGACCAGGGAACCUCAGCUGGGCUCGUGGGACCAGCAGCAGAACCAGUGGUGCUUCCUGCCCUCCCUGCCCUGGCAGAGACCAGCAAGUCCAGCUCCUUCCAACCUCAGCACAGCAAGGCAAUUCUGUGCCACACAGGAACUAAUUUUUGUGAAAACUGUCAGACUGAUGACGCUGCCGACCAUUUCUAAAAAGCUAAAAGGAGGAAAACAAUCUCAGUAACAGAAUCAUCUGCAGUUAGGAUCAUCUCUCUCCUUCCCAAAACAGGCACAGGAACUAUGCCUGAAUUCACAGCUAAUGGGAAAUCUUUUGAUCUUCACAGACACAAAGCUGCCAGCCAAGAAGAGCAGUCAGCACAGGGGGACCUUCUGAAGAAGCACUUAUCCUAAAUUCACCACCACAAUAAAUGUGACACAUCCUGGCUCUGGAGCAGCGCAGCCCUCAGUGAUGAAGACCUGUGAGCAUGUUUAGUACAGCAGAAAAGACAAUGUUAUUUAUAUCCCACAAAGCUGCUUACCCAGCCUCAGAUGUGCCCAGCCACAGUGCAACUGCAGGAAUCCAUCAGGAGGACACCUGAGAUUCCUCCCCACAGAAAGUGAUGGAUCUAACACAGCCAAUCAUCUUCAUGGCAACAAAUGUCAUCUUAAAAGACAGGGGAUAAAAGUUCACAGGGAAGCUGUGCAAAUUCAUGAAAAGAAGAAUGCAUUCCUGGUGACUGAAGGCACAGAAGUCUGUCUCCAGAAGUCUGUGUGUGUUGAAAAAUGUCUGGAAGACAGGAGAUGAUUAGCAGGAAAUAUGCAAGCUUCUACUCCUUGUAUCCUUCUCCAAACAUCCAUUAGCCACUGGUUUGAUUUUCUUUUAAGAGUCAGAACUGCUUUAUUGAUUACAGCCAACAGCUGCAAUUCAGUAGUGGUCCCAGACAUCCAAAGUAAUUUUUUCCCAACAAAGACAAUUUCUGCAGUUGUGUGAAAUGAGAUGACAACACCAUUACUGAGACAUCCUGGGCUGAGGUCAUGUUGUUCCAGUCCAGGUACAAACAGUUCAUAAAUGGAGCUCCCUCCAAACCAUCCCUCUUGUCUGCUCAGGACAACAUCCCCGGGGUGCUGGGAAGCUCUUGGUGCUGAAGAAGCUCCUGAUCCCCUCCCUGCCUGCCUGGCUGGACUGAGCUCAGUCCCUGGGGAGAUGUGUGGGGCAGGCAGGGCUGGAUCACCACGUGCUGAUCCCUUCAGCUCUGGGGAAGGACAGCGGGCUGGGCUCCCACCCAGGCGGUCACUCCUGUCUCAGGAGGUCAGCAAGGAAGCCCCUGCCCAUGGCUGUGCCUUCCAGCCCCCCCAGCAAGCCAAUGUGACAACUUUUUCCUUUAGGAGGGCACAGGAGAAUGAGAGUUUGAUUCUGAGAGCUUGUGUGUUUUGUUCUAGAAACAUAAAACAAGUUUCACUUAAAAAACACAUCUAUUUCACCAUUUUGAUAGCUCAGAAAGAGUUUGGUGAAGCACCUGAAAAAACACAGGGCAUCGCAUUACUCAAGCUGGGAUGUCAGAUUGCAAGAACAUUCAGAAUAGCUCAUUCAUAAAUGCCUUCUUUUAAAAUAUUUGGGGAAAAAAAAUAAUAACCAAAAUAAUUGUACUUUACUUUUCAAUUGAAAUCACUUGCUGAGUCUUAGCCUAGCAUUUUUCAAGCAUGAGUGUUUAAUUUUCUUGCAAAAUCACAUCCCAACAGGUCAAAAAAGCUUUCCACUCUUUCAAAUGCUCUUGCAACACAAGUUGGUGCCUUGAGUUUGAAGACUCAAACCAUUUUUCCUGGCUAGCACCCACUGCCAAGGUUCUGCUUCCCCGCUGGGAGGCCAGACCCAUUCCCAAGCCCAGGGCAGGGUUGUUGUGCUCUAACUGGCUCAGGUGUGCAGGCAAAGAUGUUAGGAGACAGGACAGAACUCCUGAACCUUCACUGGUUUAUCUUAUUUUCCUGGCGACAGUCUUUAAUUGCUCUCCACUGAAAACCUUCAGAAACCUGCUCGGCUCAGUGAUGUCUUCAGGGCAGAACUGGCUGAAGCAUCCAUCCUUUCAGCAGUUCCAGGAGAACUAAGUGCAGAUGCACCAGCCUGUGCUGCUGUUCAGUAUUUCAUUGUUUGCACAGUAGUAGGAGUCAGAUUGUGCACACACAUGCUGUUAAUUAUCUCCGUGGGCCCAGCCCUUUAUCCUCACACAUGGUCUGUAUUCCUUCUUCCCAAACAUGGAACUUUGCAUUCAGCUGUACCAAAGCAUUCACUUGCACUGGCUUUAUCUAGAGAUCCAAAUCUGUGUCACUGUUCUGUCUGAAAACCCCAAAGCUGCUGAUGUGGGAUAUGUUGUGUUUCCCCCAGGCCUGAAGCCAUGCUUUAGGAUGUGGCCAAGUCAUUCUAAGGCUGCGCCAACUGGAUCAAGUUCCCACUUGGAAUUGCAUUCAGACCUCCCCAUUUGUCAUUUGUUAAUCCUUUUAACAUUUGCCACAGCAAAUUUGUAUCAUACCAGUUUAAAUUGUCAUUUGGUAUUAAGUCAAACACCUUACAAAACUCUAGGGUAUGCUGCAUCCACAAGCAAGCUUGUCAACUUAGAAUGAGAUCAAAAGAACUUGGGAAGUCCUCCCUAAAUUGCUGGAAACUGGUACUAACAGCAUUGCUCCCAGGUUCCAGAAGAGCUCUGCAUCUGUUUUCUCCAGGAUCAUCAUCACAGCACUGUGUUCUAAAAGGGCAAACGGAACAGAUUGGUGACUUUGUCCCCCAGUUUUGUGGAGCCCCCAGAAUUGUCAAGUAGCAGUCCCAAGGAAUUUUGGACAGUUAGAAUAAUCUCCAGUGCUCACUGUAGAAGACUGCUGAAUCUGAAGUGUUUGGCCAUGGCAUUGCUGGUUAAACACUCACCCCAAUUUCAGUGAAACAGCAAUAACUAAAAUUACUGGCAGCAAUUCCAUGCUCUUGUCUCCCCAAGGGGUGUUUGCAGGCUUACCCUGCUGAAGUCAUUUACCUCUACAAAGAAAACACAUUUUUAUAAUACAAUUAAAGCUUGUUCCAGGACAAAGCAAAUGUGCUUGCACAUGGCAUUUGUGUGGAUGCUCGGGGCAGGCAGGAAGACUCUGUCAUGUGCUGGGGAGAAUCCUGGCCCCAGUUUCCUUCACUGGGGUCACACACCUCCCUCAUGAGAGUCACAGCUACAGCACAGGGGGUGGGAGGAAAAGGGAAGCUGUUUUACUACCAGAUGCAUAUGUAAAAUUUAUUUAGUGAUACUUUAGGGCAGUGCUGUUGGGAUUCCUGCCCUGCUAAAUAAAAGCCUUAUUGUGAGGAGCCAGUAGAAUGAUUGGAUUAGGGUGUAAGAAUUGUCCAGGCACCAUAAAUGCAAAGAGCACAAGAAACUUGCACCAAAUCAACUCAGUCCUGAACAGUUACCUCUCACAAACAGGUUAACCCCUGUGUUUCAGGGUUUGUAUGCAAAUUUUGAGGAAACCACUUUCUUCAUCCAGAAACCCAUUCUCCAGUGUAAUUUGAAAGAAACCUCUGUGUGCUCUGAAUGUUCAAUACUUCCAUGCACAGCAAGGUCUUGUUCACAAGGUGUUCUCUGCAGAGAACAGGGCUGGCUCUCAGGGACCCCUGCCAGCAUCUGGGGAGGGUCCACUUCGUGCUUUUAUCACAACAAAAAAUAAUAAUUAGGGAAUUGCAACAGUCAGGUCUAGUUUCAGUGCUUCCCAGGUGAAAGAAGUCUCAGGGAAAGGAAGGUAAUGUUGAAGAUUCAGUGCAGACCAUAACUUUUGGAGUGUGCCUUGCACAUAUUGCCCAUUACAGUUUCCAGAGAGCUAUUUUAUAAUUUCGGAGUCUGUCCAAAAAAUCUGAUGGAGAGCUUUGAACUUUGCCAAGGGGAAGGAGUGUGCAGCCAGGCUAUAGAAAUAACAUGUACAGUUUAACUUACAGUAGAAAUGCAGUCUUUGAAAUUGUGAAACAAGAAGAUGAAAGUUCCUACCUUGAAGGUCAUUGGAGGGAUAAAGGAGGAAGAAGUAGUAAAUUGAGAAAUAAAGCCUCUCUCACAAUGUCUUUUAAAUAUAAACACACUGGUUUGGUUUGUUAAAACCAAAAUUUCAUGCUUGACUUGAACUGAGUUUCCUUGAUUUAUGUUAUACCUACCACAUGUAGUCACCCUUCACACUGGGACACUCCUGAGGCUUAACACUCCAGGCUGAGCACUGCUUGUGAUUAAUUCAAAUUGUCUUUGUUCUUUCCACCAGCUCCUACUCCAAAUGAUGGCAAGAAAAAGGAGCGGAGAGCAGGGACAGGAGCUGUGGAAACACAGACAUUAUGUACUCCACUAAGCAGAUCCCCUUCUCUCCCUUAUGUUGUUUGAGCACUGUGGGUGAGCCCCCACCCCCAGGUUUUUUCCAAGUGAACUUUAUAAAGAAAUAUGAAUCAUUAUAAACAUCCUUAGUGCUCCUAUUGAGAACAUGCAUAUCCACAAGAGGAAAGGCUUUUCCACAACUGCGACUCCGAUAUAUUCCAAGCUGGUUUAAGAAACACUGAGUGAACUCAGCAUCCAUAACCAGAGUGUUACACUUCUGCAAUUCAUUAGUCCUCGAGGUUCCAUUCCGUAAUUAAAAUACUUUGCAGUUUAAGGCUUUACAAUAAAGAAUGUGCAGUCCUCAGCAGUGUUUCCACUGCCAGUCUAUGGAAAACAUAUGCAUGGAAAAUCUGUGCAGUGCAUGUGCACAGCCAUCUUUGGAUAGCUUCAGUGAACAUUCAACGCUGUCGGUGAGUUUGAGAAUAGAAAAAACCAUCGACCGUUGACUGUACCUUGAGGUUUAUCACAAACCCUCUGUUAAAUGGAAAGCCUGAACCUUCAGAGAUUUCACAUGUGGUUGCCAUUAGCAGGUCAUGAUUUACAGAUUAUAUUAAGAGCUACAGAGGUUGAGUUUUUCCAGUUCUGCUUUCUCUAAAAGUGAAUUGGUGUAUAAGAAAUGCUUGUUUUCUCUUAAAAAAAAAAAGAAUUAAAGCUUUAUACUAACACAGAAUUUCUGCAGAACAGAGUAUAAGAGAUCAAUGGAAGGUUUUGUAUGGGCAGCACAAAAGCAGGAACGUAUCCACACCAUAUGGGACACUUGGAAACAAAUCUGAGCAUGGUAUAUAUUCAAAAUAGCAGAAUAUAGGCCAGAUCAGGAUGGAAACCUUUCCAUUUGGGCUGGCAACUUGAGCUUUGCUGGAAGAAGCUUUGGAAUGUCAGUUCAUUUGCUCCCAGGAACCUGCACUCUGUCCCAGCAGCUGCUCACCGGCGAGGAGCGGCUCCCUGCGGGCCAGGUCCAGCUGCUCCCACGGCUCAGGCUGUCCCUGCAGCCAGGCCAGCAAGGAAACAGCCUUCCUUUGCAAGGCACACCAGCCAGGGCUGGGGAGCCUCACUGGUACCCACUGGAACCUUCUCCAGCCCAGCUGGCUGACCAGGACUGCAGGCUCUGGCAGCAGGUGCCUUCCAAGGGUCAGGUGCUUGUUCUGCCUCUGCCCGGACUGCAGAAUCCAUGAAAUGAGGAAAGACAAAGCACGUGCCAGGGAAUGCUGUCUUGGGCUGCUCUGGAGUGACAGCACCCUCGCUGUGGAGUGGCAUCUUCAGCAUCUAAUGGCUGCAAUCAACAUUCAUUGCUGUCGGUGGGUUUUCAUUCCUAUCAACUCACUGAUCAAUGAAUGCAAACUGCGGACCAGCCAGCCAAGGAGCACCCACCCUGAUGGCAGGAAAAGUGACACCUUUGCCAAAGAAAUGCUGUAUCCAAGGUCUGCCUCCCAAAACUGUGUGAGACUGAGCCAUUGUCCCACCAGAGAAGUCCAGGACACAUCAUCCAGCUCCUUCAUGAGCAAAUCUGAGUGCUAAUUAAGAAAUGCACAGGGAUUUUUAAAGGAGCACAACAGCUGAGGAACUAGUUCAGUUUUAAUAAAAGUGACACCUAAUUGGUAAAUCUAUCAGUAAAGCAUAAACCUACAGCUUUACCAGGUUAUAGGAAAUUAAACUUCCUCCUGAGCAAGCCAAGCUGUGGAACAGCACUGGUCCUACAAAGUGACCAGUGAGAGAUGAAAAGGGACUGAACUGUGGGGCUUUGGACUGAUGGGUGAGAACAGGAGAAAGCAAAGCAGAAAAUAGUGAUUUAAGGUACUGCUGCAGAGAACACUCUUCAGGGCUGUGGUGGGCAGGAGCAGCUUCAUUUCUGCUGGGAAGGUGAGGAGCUGGAGCUGGCUGCCUGGGGCAGGCAGGGACCUUCUCCCCCUGCUCUGUGGCUGUGCAGGAGGAGCAGACACAUCUCUGCAUGGCAGACAAACUGACACUGCCCUGAGACACAGGAGCAGCCUCCCGAGCUGCCCUCCAAGUAUUUCCACAUACCUGCUGCAGAAAGGCUCCUGUCUGUGGGCAGUAAAGGGGGGGGCUCCUGUGGUGCCCCCAGGACACUCAGGGUGGUGCAUCUCACCAUGCUCAGCAGUGCUGUCAGUCAGUUCCCUGGGCACUACAGGGUCCAAGCACUUCUCUUAGCCUUGUUUGCUCCUCCAGCUGCUCAGGAUUAUCCUGAAGGAGCCUGUUCAGACAUGCUGUGCUGCCAUCCCACAGGAACCGUGUCCCUCUGUACAGCUCAAGUCAGAACAACUCGCCAAGGACUCAGAAACUCCAGUUUGGUGAAUAUUCAAAAUAUAUCUGCGUGUUCUGUUCAAAGACUUCAACUUGUUCAGUUUUCUACAGGAACAGCUCCACCAAGUUCAACAGCCACACACUAAACAGACUGAACUUCACAAAAGUGGAAUUUUAGGAAAAAAUCUCCCCUCUCCCUGGGUCUGAUAGCAAAGAGCCCUGUUCAGUCACCCACAGCAAGCACUUUCACCAACAGCCAGGUAAGUGUGUUGGCUUGGUACAGGGAAUUUACCACAGCAGUGUAACUGAACAGCCCAAAAGCAUGCCUGCCAACGUGUUUUAACAUUAUGAAAACAGGACAAAUGACUCAUUUUUGAUGCAGUUUGACAUUCUGCCUUUGAAAUCUCAAAAUUUUCAGCAUGCUUGGCAGACUCAUUCGGAAGUGAGAGUGCACAAUUUGGAAUUUUUCCAGAGACAUCUUACAUGAUGUACAAGAAACUGCUUUUGUGUUAUUUUAAAUAGACAAUUCAGCCAACUGUUUUUCCUCAUGUAUACCUGCAUGAAAGUAGAAAAUACAGAAGUCCUGACAGAGGUGUUCAUCUUUACUGUGAGGACGUGAAAAUAAUUGACUGCAAUUACUCUGAAUAAGACAUUUCAGACAAACAGGGAAAAUUACAGUAAAGGGGCCAUUACCCCAGUUUGCCAAUGCACAACAAGCCAAAGGCUUGAGCACACAUUCCACACCUCUCAAAUGCUCUGGAUGCACAAAUAAGCUUAAAAUUCGGGUUCCCACUUGGCUGUAAAAAAUCCUCCAGAAUUUUUUUUUUGCUUUAAUUUUGGUAAGGGAGACAGCAAGGGAAAAAACCAAGGGAAGACAGGCAUGUUCAGAAUGUUUUUAAAUCCAUGCUUGGGAAGCUUUAGAUGUUUGUGUCAGCAGCUGUUUGCUGCCUACCAGAGGCAGCACCCCGCAGAUCCACCUGCCCCGGGGCACAUCAGGGUGACCCUGAGCACCAGCACAGCCAGUGCUGCCACCACCAUGGGACAGCUGGGGACAGCGGGGACCUGCCCAGCAGGACCUGCCCGGGCUCAUCCACCCACUCCAGAGGCCAGCGAGGGCUGGCUCAUCCACCAGAGCUGACCGGGCAGAGACAGACAGGAAGACAUCAAAAGAACUCGAGGAGCUCCGUUUAUUUAGUUUAUCAAAAGUUUAUAUAAAUAUCUUCAUAGGGAACAGACAAGCAUUUUUCAGUUUAGCAGAAGAUAACAGACAUGAAAGCUGUAGCUAGACAAAUGCACACUGGCAGUAACACACAGUUAUUUAAGGGGGGAAAGAGGGUCAGUGUUGGACAGCCCUGCCCUUUUUCUGCAGAUACAUUCUGCUGGGAGAAUACUGUGGAAAAUUUAGUUAUGUUAUAAUACCUGUCAAUGCACAAGAGUAAAUAUGACCUGUAUCAGGCCACAAAGGUUCAACAGAGUAUUAGCCAAUAUAUCAUGAAAUAUUCUACAUAUGCAUGUGAAAUUACCUGUUUCCACAUAAAAGUGAUAAACUGCAUGAAAACCUAGCUAGAUACCAACAAAGACGUGUUUUAUUAAUCACCAGGCAGAUAACUGCACACAUGUUCACAACUCAGAGCCUGCCAUUCAUGCACUCCACAGGGCUGCUCUCACUAUAAAGGACAGAACCAGAUUUUCACUCCCAUCAUGCAGGAACCACAGUUCUCCAAUAAAAGUAAGUGCAAGUCCACCAGCACAAAGGCACGUGGAAAGGACCGUGUCCUGGCUCUGGGAGGCUUUUAGCAGUUGUGAACAUCUGAGCAUGACUUUGAAAUGAGCUGCCAGUUAAAAGUCUGCCACAUUUGAGAAAUCCACCGAGUUCCCAAACAAUGAGAUGAAAAGCUGCUCUCAGUGAGGGUUUCCCAGUCCCACCAGUCUGACAAGGGCCUGUUGCCAUCUAGUGGAUUCCCACCGACUGGUCCCUCCGCACAGCAAAUGCCACUAGAUGGAGUGUUAAGAAGGAAUUCUGAAUUUCUCCUUUUUUAGGUGUCCAGCAGCUCAGAUUUUCAAAGUCUCAAAAAGUUACAGGCCCAGAAUUGCCCUGAAAUUGAGGAGGAUUUCACCAGCUGCUCUGAGUUUCAUGGGAAAUUCCAGGCUACAGAUUUCAAGUUUUAAAAUUAAACACUACAGAAAAAGACUCCCAUGUCAACAUAAUUUACAUCACCUCAGGGGUUUCUAUCACUCAUGCAGGUACCUCCUUCACUGAGAUAUCUCUGGUGGCAACAGAUGUUGCUCGGCCUGCAUUCUUCUGGUGUAAAUAGUGAUGUACAGACCUGGUCUGUGCUGUUUUAGUGAGAAAUACCACAUCAGCUCUCAGCUAUGGGAAUCCCACUUCCAUGAACAAGUAUCAGCUGUAAAACUCCUCCAAGUCUCUGCCAUGGAGUAUCAAUUCACAUCUCUGGAUUAUCUCAGAAUUAGAAAUGCUACCUUGUCACACAUGGCAAGAAAAGGGGUACUUACUGCCCACGGAGUUCACAGGGAGGACAGGAGAGGAAGAACUCAUCUGCUCCACAUCUGCAGCUAAUGGGAAAGUGAAAAUGAGAAAGAUGUGAUGUGCAUGUUACUGAGAAGGUUUUACUUUGAAAACUUUCAUUUACACUGGAAUUGAAUACGCAUGUUUUCAGUCACCCAAGGAAGCUGCUUUGAGGAGCAGGUAAUUUAACAGCAUCAGCUUUCCCCUUUCAAGGUAUACACAUUAUCUGCAGAUCUACUUUUAGCAGUCAUAUUAGUAAUUUGUAACUUAUGAUGGUUUGAGACUAUCAAUUCAGAGCAGCUUCCAGCACAAAGAAAGUCUAAAUUACAUCGGGUUUAAACUGUAUGCAGAGCAUUACUGGGGAAUAAAAGGACAUGAUGAUCUCCCAUCUGUGGCCAGUGAACCUUCAAAAGAUUCCUGAUCAGAAGAGAGAUCCUCUUCCAAAGGCUGGCAAGCUGCUGGAAUUUGAUCUGGAGCAGCAUCAGAAACAAGUGUCUUUAAGCACAAGACACUCCAAAGCUUUAUUUUCUAGCAGCUGAAAGAAGAAACAGAACUUCCUGCCUGUGUCUGCCAGUGAAAACCCUCAAAGUCAGAACGUGAUCAAAAACAAAUGCCCUCUGUGUUUUGGAAAGGAUCCUCCUUUCCAGGACUCAAACCAGGAGAAAACCAUCUUGCACUAACAGGGUCAGUUUUAACCCAAGACUAGGUGAAGCCAAGAUGCAUUCUUUGGGCUUGAUCUCUCUCAAACGACCACAGCCCCUCUCAGCACAUCACCACCAACACCCAAGCCAAGCAGCUCAGUCUCCAGCUCUGUGAUUUUGAUGCUGGUAGGUCCCACAUAAUUAUAUAUUCUGUAACUUGUUUAGCUCUAAGACCCAAUAAAUGCACACUACAAGUCUGCAUUCCUGACCACAGAACACAGCCCCAGAAGCACAACUCCAGCCCACGCCAGGCUUUGCUGCCAGCCCAAAUCCUGCCUUUCACAUUCUUGCAAUUCCCAUUUCUGGGGCAGCAGGCAGUUCCCCGAGGACCACUGUUUACACUGAAAGUGCAAAGUUCUGCUCUAAUUAGGCAAACCACAAACAAAAGUAAACACUUCAGCAGACCAUUUUUAGAGAACGUGAGAGCAGACACUGCAGCACGCUGACUAAAUCCUGCUGCCAUGCUCCACACCACCCCGAGCCUCCUCGGUGCAGCUGCUCAAAGCAGCAGCUUUAGUUCAUCAUGUUAAACACCAGCCAUAGCUGAGAGCAGCAACAAACACAAUUACAGAUUUAUUCAGCAAUGCCCUGGCUUGUCCUGUCCUAUUCCCCAGUGGAUUACCACGGCAUUUACUGCCUGGAACACCUACACAUGAAUUUAUCAUCUUGCAGCAGUGCUCAGAAAGCUGCAUGUGACAUGCUGGCUGCAGACCUCCCAACAGGCUCUGGAUUACACUGCACAGGUCUCUGAUGUGCUCAGAGAAGAAAAAUUAUUUUGUAUCUUCCCAUUUUCCACCUUAUUACUAUAGUCUCCUUAAUUUAGGAACUAGCAAGCCGUAUAUUAUACAUGUUUUGUAAAUUAAAAAAAAAAAACCCAAAACAUAUUCUUCAUAUGCAGUACAGCCAUUUCAGGUUCCUGGCAAGAGUUUUGUACUUUUGCCUAUAGAAAGCCACAUAAGCUUUCACAUAGAUCCAGGUUAAGCCAAGCAGGCUGAAGUUGCUCUGCCUCUCUGGAGUGUGCAGAGUGAGCACAGUGGCUGUCAGGAGGGCUGAGGGGCAGCCCAGCAGAUGGUCACUGCAGCUUACCUGCUGCUCUGGCACACAGAGGUCACUGCCCAGCCCUGGCCAGAUGGCACAGGGCAGGCACUGGAGCAGAGCUGCGAGGGCAGAGUCACUCAGGGCAGUAAGCUACACCUGCCAACAUCUGCAAGAGUUUAUCAAGUAUCAUCCAAAGAGCAACUCAAUAAUGCAUGUGCCUUCUCAAGAGAGGUUUCUGAGUGGAAGUGUUUAGAGAGAGGCAGCACAAAUUCUCCAAGUCCUGAAAUUUUAGAUUGUUCACUGUAAUGCCAGGUUACAGGCUGCAAAAACAGUGAAACUAUUUCCCAGUCAGACUUGGGAAUUCAGUUCAUGCUUGAAAUUAUGUUUUACUGACUAUCUGUAGUAUGUUCACCAGUGCAGAUGCCAUGCUCACCACACCCAGCUGCUCAAGUUUGGGGUCAGAAUUCCCUCAACGUCCUGCCCUGUGCUGCCAGGAACCCAGUGAUCCCACGGCCCUCAAUAGAUGGAUUUAAAAAUUUCUCUCUGUGUGAAAACACAGCUGUUUAUGAAACAUGGCAAUGCUGGUUUGCUCUCUUACCCAUAAUCCCCCACCCUUCCCUCCAGCCCUUUUUACCUUCAUAAUUAUAUGUAAUCCAUUAAAUCCCUAAAAACAGUUUAUCUAAGGGAGAGGAGAUACAGACUAACAACCAGACUAAGAUUUUGGAAAGUGGUUUGCUCUAAGAGAUGAAAAGGACAGAAGUCUGCUCAGCUAUGAAGAGCUGCUGCUGCCAAUACAAGUAUUUACCUCCUGACCUCUCCCCUGCCCACUCAGUGAACAGUGCCAAUUGUUUUCCUUGUUUACAAGCCCUGAGUGGUAUGAAAGGAAUUAAUAAUUCAGCUAAUGGAGCUGAUGACCUUUAUUGGGGUACCCCUAUUUGCUGUUUCUUUUUAAGAGUUUUUCACUUUACAGCCUAAUUUGCCACCACAACAUAAAUCAGUUAUUUCUCCUGUUUUAAGCAACAGGAGAAAUUCUCAACCCCUCAAUUUCUAACUUCCCUUGUAUCAAGCCAGGCCUUGUUCUUUGGCAAGGCCAGCAUGGAGAGCUUUGCAGGAUCAGGAACAUUUGGGAACACCAGCAAAAAGAGAUGAUGCCAUUUUGAACUUCUCUUGACCCUUGCCUGCCCUUGUCCCUGUUCGUGCUAAUUGAAGGGGUAUGUGGGCUACUGCUAGAAAUGAACUUAGCCUGAAGCUGGACUCAGCACUGGACUUUGAGGAUGAGUUGUGGUGCCCCCUCCCCAGCACGGAGGAGCUCAGCAGUGACACAGUGCAGGUGACCCAGGGCACCCUGAGCUCAGGGAUCCCCGAGGUGGGACGGAGCAGAAGGUGCUGACUCAGGGAGUGCCACCACGUCCCCUGCCCAGGAUCAACCACACACCUGGAUCCCCGUGGCACAGCCCAGUGCUGCUUGUGGGCCUGGAGAUGUGCGUGGGACAGGAUGCUCCAGAGGUGACUCUGCCGUGUCCCACACAAGGCACCAAUGCUUCUGCCAAGCUCGUGGCCAGGAGCUGUCACAAGCCCAGCCUGACCCGGCUGUGGGGCUCUCCAGGACCCCCAGCUCUCUCUGCUGAGCUGCUCUCCAGCCUGCACCAUUCCACGGGGUUAUCCAGGUGCAGGACUUGAUGGCUGUGUCUAACUUGGAAGUUUCAAUCAACUUUUUCCUUCAGGUUACUGAGGUCCUUCUGAACAGCAGCUGUGCCCUCCAGAGCAUCAACCUGCAAGCCUGAGGAGUUUGUCCAUCCCUCCAUCCUGGUGGCUGAUGAAAUUGCUCAACAGUGUUGACCCCAACACUGACUCCCAAGGACAGUCACAGUACAAUGGCCACCAGCUAGUGCUUGAACUCGACUGCCACCCUUUGAACAGAACAGCCCAGCUUUGCACCCAAAAAACAGCCCAGGUUUUCAGAUGACAUGGGAGACUGCAUCAGAGGCCUUACCUAAUGCUAAGGUUAAUGACAGAAUGACUCUCUCCUCAUCCAUGAUCCAGUCAUUUCAUCACAGAAGGAAGGAGGUUGCUCAGGCAUGAUCUCUCCCCUUGGAAAACCACAGCGAAUGUUCCCAGUUACCUUCCUGUCCUUCAAGUGCCUGGAAAUGCCUUUUGGGAGGAUUUGCUCCACACCCUGCUCACUGAGGGGCUGAGACAAGGCUGACCAGGCAGCAGUUCCCCAGAGCAGCUACUACUCAGCAGAGCUGAGCUGAAGGUGAUUCAUUAUCCCUUAUCAGCUAAAUUUUACUAUACAGAGACAUUCCUCCCCUUUCCCCUACAUUGGGUAGAGCUUGUCUCACCUCAGUGCUGAAAACACACACUGUUUGCAGAGAGGAAUGGGAAAUAAGGUCAUUUCAUGAUAAAUAUUUUUACUUAUUUUCAUUUAUAUGGAAAACAAUCCCAGUUCUUGCUUACCAACAAAACUGAAAGGAAACCUACUAAGAGAUGCAUCUUCCACGUACCUGCACUGUAUUCCUCAAUAAACUCUACAAACAUUGUUAUUUUAAAUGCCUGUUUACAUUCCAGCAAAAUUCUGUCAGCGUGCUAUCUGAUUUAUUGAUGCCAUCAAAAGUCACAGGAUUCCUGUCGUGCCUCCUGAGGCACAACAAUCAAAGCAGAAAGGAGAUGCAUCUUGCUGUGGUAUCAGCAUUACCACAUACCGUAUGGGCUGGGUUUCCAGAAGCCUCUGUGAUUUCUGGGACAGAGCACAGGGCUCUUCUGGAAAGCUGCUGCUUCCCUGCGAGGUGCAGCAGGCUCUGCUCCUGGAGAAGGGGGUGCUGGGGAGGGAGCACCCCCAGAGCCAGCUCGUGGUGACAGCAGGGCAGCUCUCAGCCAGCCAUUCCUCUAAAGGGGACUCACGCACAUUGGGCAUCUUAUUUCAGACUUUUAGGAUACCAAAAGGGAAAACACAGUCAAGCACCAAUGCUUUUUAGAAAAAUGAUGAUGAUGAUGA